This 497-nucleotide ribosomal RNA is filed under the name uncultured bacterium. RNAcentral describes it as "partial 16S ribosomal RNA". It matches the Rfam family "Bacterial small subunit ribosomal RNA", at positions 28 to 507 of the family's 1533-position model. The record is from RNAcentral.
GACGAACGCUGGCGGCGUGCCUAAUACAUGCAAGUUGAGCGAUGAAGCUUGGUGCUUGCCCCAAUUUGAAGAGCAGCGAACGGGUGAGUAACGCGUGGGGAAUCUGCCUUUGAGCGGGGGACAACAUUUGGAAACGAAUGCUAAUACCGCAUAACAACUUUAAACAUAAGUUUUAAGUUUGAAAGAUGCAAUUGCAUCACUCAAAGAUGAUCCCGCGUUGUAUUAGCUAGUUGGUGAGGUAAAGGCUCACCAAGGCGAUGAUACAUAGCCGACCUGAGAGGGUGAUCGGCCACAUUGGGACUGAGACACGGCCCAAACUCCUACGGGAGGCAGCAGUAGGGAAUCUUCGGCAAUGGACGAAAGUCUGACCGAGCAACGCCGCGUGAGUGAAGAAGGUUUUCGGAUCGUAAAAAUCUGUUGGUAGAGAAGAACGUUGGUGAGAGUGGAAAGCUCAUCAAGUGACGGUAACUACCCAGAAAGGGACGGCUAACUACGUG